UUGUCGCCCUCACCCAGCUGCUGCGGCGGAGAGACGGAGGCCAGCGCGGGGAGCGGAAGCCGGAGCCUGUCGGGAGCGACCCCGGGAAGGCCAGUCCCUCCUGCCGGAGGGAGGCGUGUUGGCGUGCGGCCGGUGGCGGGAUCGAUGGCCACCUGGUAGGCGAUGGUAAGCGGCAGUGGCCUGCGCCAAGGUAGCCCCCGGGGGGCGGUGUGUGGCGCCCGGACCCGCACCCUCUGCUCCCGGGGGUGGAGCUGACCUGCUUGCCCGCGGUUGGGCUCGGGAGCCUGCGGGCCGCGGCCAGGAGGGAGCUGGCUGGCCGUCCCGGCGGUGGGGGCUGUGGCGGUGGCCGUCCCGCGGGUGUGCCCGUGCUCGGAUCGAUGAUGACACCCACAAACGCAUUCCUUGGAAAAUCUGAACAAAAUGAGUGAGAACUCACUACCGUCUCCUCAUCGCAAACUGAGGUCCGGCACGUGGCUCCCACAGGGGACGUCGGGGGAGGGUCCCGUUGCCUUGGCUCCCUUGGCUGCUGCGGCGGAGAGACGGAGGCCAGCGCGGGGAGCGGAAGCCGGAGCCUGUCGGGAGCGACCCCGGGAAGGCCAGUCCCUCCUGCCGGAGGGAGGCGUGUUGGCGUGCGGCCGGUGGCGGGAUCGAUGGCCACCUGGUAGGCGAUGGUAA
This 675-nucleotide long non-coding RNA is filed under the name Sus scrofa (pig). RNAcentral describes it as "lncRNA (ENSSSCG00070008112.1)". The stretch from base 372 to 465 matches the Rfam family "Small nucleolar RNA SNORD116". Lineage: Eukaryota; Metazoa; Chordata; Mammalia; Artiodactyla; Suidae. The record is from RNAcentral.